UACGUAGGGGGCAAGCGUUAUCCGGAUUUACUGGGUGUAAAGGGAGCGUAGACGGCGAUGCAAGUCUGAAGUGAAAGCCCGGGGCUCAACCCCGGGACUGCUUUGGAAACUGUAUGGCUGGAGUGCUGGAGAGGCAAGCGGAAUUCCUGGUGUAGCGGUGAAAUGCGUAGAUAUCAGGAGGAACGCCGGUGGCGAAGGCGGCCUGCUGGACUGCGACUGACGUUGAGGCCCGAAAGCGUGGGGAGCAAACAGG
RNAcentral lists this ribosomal RNA (253 nucleotides) under uncultured bacterium. Its description in RNAcentral is "partial 16S ribosomal RNA". It matches the Rfam family "Bacterial small subunit ribosomal RNA", at positions 524 to 776 of the family's 1533-position model. The record is from RNAcentral.